This is a long non-coding RNA of Xiphophorus couchianus (Monterrey platyfish), 2135 nucleotides long. RefSeq lists it as uncharacterized. The transcript is spliced from 2 exons. NCBI's taxonomy places the organism in Eukaryota, Metazoa, Chordata, Actinopteri, Cyprinodontiformes, Poeciliidae. The record is from RefSeq and is a predicted model, not a curated record.
UCCGCUUGAUGUACACAUUCAAACCAAACCAGACUUCAGUUCAACCGAACCCAGACUGAGGUUUGGACGACCAGAGGUCAGAGUUAGCUUAGCGUUCACACCUAGCGGCGGCGCCCUUGGUGAACAACCCCACCGGCGCCCACUUUCCCUCACUUUCUUCUUCUACUAAGAUCCAAUUAGCAUUAUCUGCUGUUACUUCAGCCGUUAACUUUUUGUUUUCUCCCAGCAGUUUCUCUAGAAGCUCCAUCUGGUCCGGCGUUCUGUUUUAGCAGUCGGCUAACAGGAAGUUCUUAAACAUAGAAAGAUCUCCUGGUUCUGUUCUGCUGCUCUGUCUUCUCAAACCUCCAGAUGGCAGCUGGUACUGAGCCAGGUUCUGGUUCUGGUUCUGGUUCCUCUCCACUUUCACCCACUGCUGGCCGGGAGGACAACGACUCGAUGCUCUGCUGAGUUUCCUCAGAUUGAAACUUUUUAACCUUAUUAGAAUAAUAAACUAACGCAUUAACUGAUAACUAGAUUAACUUGAAAUGACUUUCUUUGUAAAGUGUUUUGAGCCGCCAUUGUUGUGAAUUGUCGCCAUAGUAACAAACUGAAUAAAUAUACAGUAGAUUUUAUUCAGAUUACACCAAGAAAUAUCCAAUCAGUUCUGAACUGAACAUAAACAGGUUCAUGUAAUCAGUCGAGUAAUUUAAUUACAAAUCACCUUAUUUUCCAGAGAUAAAGACAAAUAAAGAUAAAACGUGGAUAAAUGAACCUUAAUAAUGAAUAUUUAAUAAGUAGCAGAAAAGUUAGAACAUUUUCCAGGUUGACCUGCAGAGAAACGUCCUGCCGUCGCCUCUCCAUGUUGUUAGAAUAUACCAAGUUUGAAGCUCCUUGUUUGUUAAAAUUAAUAUUUUUAGAGGCUCAUAAUGACGACUUCAGAGGAGAGGUUGGUGAACAUCCCACAAUCAAAGGAAGUGUGUCCCCGACCUGUUUCCUGUCUCACCCUUCUACUCCCCUAAUUGCCCACCUGUGGGCGUCCUAAUUAGCCCUAAUCAGGAAGAGGAGCUCACCGGAGACCGAGAAGGCUGGGCGAGAAAGCAGACACCACAGAAGAAGAAAGAGGGCCGUGCUGCAGAAUCAAGAUGUCAAGCGAUGGCUGCAUGCAGAGAACCCAGCCUCACCUUUAUCCCGGACAUGAAAGAUGGCGUCCGACUGAUGUUUGUGGCCGUCGGAGUGGGACUGGAGCGGCUGACAGCUACGGCGCUGGAGCUGCUGCCGUUGCUCCGCGUUGCAUCACGCCUCGUCUUCGUUGGACUCCGACGGGUUGCUGCAGACUUGCAGAUAGAUUUAAAUGAGAUCCGUGGACUGACUGUUUGUGUUGCAGAACCGCAGGCUGUGUGUAAACACAGUGCUGGAUGUCGCCGUUCCGGCUGGAGCUGGAAUCCUUGUUUCACUUCGUUAAUUAAGGACAACGGAGAACCGGAUCAAACUUUCUGCUAGAGAGCGGACAGUUCUCAGCUCAAAGUAGCAAACGUUUUUCUGGUAUGAUGGGAUGUUAAUGCUGUUUACAUGCUAUUCCUGUUUUAGCUCAGAAUUAGCAAACAUAUUUCUAUCUGCUCACUAACUAGGAGUAAGAUUUUGUUUAGAUAAUUUGUGUCUGAGCUUUGACUUCCUUAGAUGUUGCUUCAAUAUUUCCAAAAGUGCACCGGUCUCUCCUGAAGCAAAUCCCCCCUCACAGCAUGAUUCUGCCACUCCCGUACAUUACAGUUAGGAUGGUAAGCAUCCCAGUUUUUCCUCCAAAUGUAACAAAACCUUUUAUGUCCAAACAGUUCAUUUUACUUUCAUCAGACCUCCAAACACUAUUUGAUCUGAAUUCGUUCCCAAACUGUAAUCUGACUUUUUUUUGUUUUCAUGUUACGUAUCUUCAGUAUUAUCUAUGUUUUUAAUCCAGCUAGCUUGUGCAAAAAUGGAACAAAUUGCACAUCUUUCUGAAUUUUCCCCAUAAUUUGAAACACUCAGAUGAGAAAUUUUAGUUUUGCCUUUAUUGCUGCUCAACUUUGUUUAUGUUAACUGUUUUCUUGUUAAACUAAAACCUACGCACCUGACUGGGUCUCACAACUUUCAUCUGUUGCUCUUUAAUUAAAAAAAGGUGUUUA